UACGUAGGGUGCAAGCGUUAAUCGGAAUUACUGGGCGUAAAGCGUGCGCAGGCGGUUGUUCAAGUCAGAUGUGAAAUCCCCGGGCUUAACCUGGGAACUGCAUUUGUGACUGCACAGCUGGAGUGCGGCAGAGGGGGAUGGAAUUCCGAGUGUAGCAGUGAAAUGCGUAGAUAUGCGGAGGAACACCGAUGGCGAAGGCAGGUCUCUGGGCAUUAACUGACGCUGAGGAGCGAAAGCAUGGGGAGCGAACAGU
This 253-nucleotide ribosomal RNA is filed under the name uncultured bacterium. Its description in RNAcentral is "partial 16S ribosomal RNA". It matches the Rfam family "Bacterial small subunit ribosomal RNA", at positions 524 to 776 of the family's 1533-position model. The record is from RNAcentral.